GUUUACAGCCAUACCACCCUGAACACACCUGAUCUCAUCUGAUCUCAAGAAGCUAAGCAGGGUUGGGCCUGGUUAGCACUUGGAUGGGAGACCACCUGGGAAUACCAGGUGCUCUAAGCU
This is a ribosomal RNA of Girardinichthys multiradiatus, 120 nucleotides long. The record is from RefSeq and is a predicted model, not a curated record. NCBI's taxonomy places the organism in Eukaryota, Metazoa, Chordata, Actinopteri, Cyprinodontiformes, Goodeidae.